AUGGAAGCAGGGGCGUCAGAUCCGGGCGCUACUCAAGCAGUAGCUGGUGUGAGAGGCGACGCGGCGGCGAGCAUCCGGAGCGGCGAGCCACGGCGACGGCGGCUGGAUCAAACUAAGAGAAUCGACGACGACGCUCUGCCACGCAGAGCCUCAACAAUGGAUAAUGCAAAGUCUAUUGAUGGAUCAUUCUCAACACGGGUUUCAACAAGCCACUUGGGUACAGUUGCUAAGAAAAAUCUGGGCGAUAAUAAGAGGGCAAUCUUAAUUGGUUGCUGCUCCAAGAGCGGACCAGCAGCUGCUGCGACAGCCUGA
RNAcentral lists this ribosomal RNA (312 nucleotides) under Triticum aestivum (bread wheat). Its description in RNAcentral is "partial small subunit ribosomal RNA". The record is from RNAcentral. Lineage: Eukaryota; Viridiplantae; Streptophyta; Magnoliopsida; Poales; Poaceae.